GCAGUAGCCGCGGGAAUACGUAGGUGGCAAGCGUUGUCCGGAUUUAUUGGGCGUAAAGCGAGCGCAGGCGGUUUCUUAAGUCUGAUGUGAAAGCCCCCGGCUCAACCGGGGAGGGUCAUUGGAAACUGGGAGACUUGAGUGCAGAAGAGGAGAGUGGAAUUCCAUGUGUAGCGGUGAAAUGCGUAGAUAUAUGGAGGAACACCAGUGGCGAAGGCGGCUCUCUGGUCUGUAACUGACGCUGAGGCUCGAAAGCGUGGGGAGCGAACAGGAUUAGAUACCCCAGUAGUCCCUGUCUCUUAUAC
RNAcentral lists this ribosomal RNA (302 nucleotides) under uncultured bacterium. Its description in RNAcentral is "partial 16S ribosomal RNA". It matches the Rfam family "Bacterial small subunit ribosomal RNA", at positions 508 to 807 of the family's 1533-position model. The record is from RNAcentral.